AUGUGCCUCGCCUAUCUCCUCCUGGCUGCCUUCCUGAGGCAACCACAGGGCACCAUGGGGCAGGUCACUGUCACCCAGCAAGAAGGACAAGUCACAGUGAAGGAAAGAGAAACCUUCCACACCAUCUGCACAUACCAGUCACGUACCUUUGAUGCAUUGUUGUGGUACCAGCAGAAGAAAGGCCAAGCUCCCCAGCUGCUCUCGUCCCAGGCAGCAGCUGGCCCCAAGCACAGCAGCCAUCUGACCACGCUGCUGAACACCACGGGGAAAUACAGCCUGCUGCAGCUGGAGGAAGUGGAGGUCUCUGACAGUGCCUUGUACCUCUGUGCUGUGGGUGACACCCUGGUGCAGGAGCUUGCUUGGCUGUGCAAGAAGCCAGGGGAGGGAGGGGAAGUGUCUGGGCAAGGCUGAGCAUGGGGGAAUGGGCCCUCAGCUCUCCGCUGGCAGCUCUGCUUCCUGUGUGCACCCAGGGAUCUGAAGGACAAGAUCCUCUUCCAGGAGAGGACAAUGUCUGUGGCUGCAGAGGUGGUGAAAGAGUCUCAGGUCUCCUUGUUUUCACCA
Non-coding RNA from Dryobates pubescens (Downy woodpecker), 561 nucleotides. The record is from the annotation of a RefSeq genome assembly. NCBI's taxonomy places the organism in Eukaryota, Metazoa, Chordata, Aves, Piciformes, Picidae.